UGGGUAAAAGCCUGUAAGCCUAAGAG
RNAcentral lists this non-coding RNA (26 nucleotides) under Mus musculus (house mouse). Lineage: Eukaryota; Metazoa; Chordata; Mammalia; Rodentia; Muridae. The record is from RNAcentral.